Molecule: long non-coding RNA, 1055 nt
Organism: Mauremys mutica (yellowpond turtle)
Lineage: Eukaryota; Metazoa; Chordata; Testudines; Geoemydidae
Exons: 4
Source: RefSeq, a predicted model, not a curated record
AGAGGCAGCCCAUCAUCCCCCAGCCCUGGCUGCCUGAUUGGCCGAGAGGCGGGGAUGCUGCCUCCGCUAGCCAAUCAGGCUGCACUAAUAAUAGGUGGACCUGCUCAGCCGGCAUCGCCCAUCCCAGGGAUCUGAGAGUCUCUGUCCCCCCCAGCGGGCCAGGGGGCUGGGAGGGAGUUCCCUGCGAAUGACAAUCAAGGACAUCAAAUCAGUCCUCUGGACCGGCAAAGUGAUGACCCCCAAGCAGUGCUGCAAGCUGGAAACAGAGACGGCUGGGUGACCUGAUUCGCCCCACCCCCUGGGACUUCAGGCAAUUUAUAGUAUGGCAUUUACCGACCACAAAGAGAGGCGCAGUAAGAGAGAAGCAGGAGAUGGGGGAUGGGGCAGAGAGCUGUGAGGAGUUCGUGUGCAGUAACAUCUAAUCAAUGGCUGCAAAUAAAAUUCGCCAUAAUUGAGUUCUUUGGUUUUUACAGAGCAGGUUUUAUUGGCGUUUUCAGGUCCAAAGACCUCAGCAGCUGCUUUCUAUAUGUCAUUUACUUGCAGCUGGAAAUGUGGCCUUGAGGGUCUCUCCAUCCACACCAGCAGAGCAGCUUGGCCAGAUAAGGAGGAAAAAGAAGAGGACAAGGGAAGACAUGUUCCAAGAGCUCCUGCAAGUUUCUUGUGCUCCAGAUUCUGAGCACAGGGCUUGGAGGAUCAUGCUCAAAGACAGACUGCAAAGGGAUAGUGAGGACAGGAGAAACGGGCAGCAAGAGAUGAUAGCACUCCGCAUGGAGCAAAGAGACAUGAUUGCAGUCUCUGACUGAACUUCAGGCUGGACAGAACUAUGCUUGCCUCCCCCUGUGGCCCAUAAAGAGCUGCAUUCUGGGACCUCCUUACACUUCCUCCCCCCCCACUCCAUUCCACAUAUCUUCCAGGGCAGCAGCACUUCUCUUACCACUCCAGCCCUUAGGAGAGUACACACAAUCACUACCGCACAUACACUGACCUGUGAGAGAGAGAGUUGGUAUAUGUGUUUGUGAAAUGGAAAUGACUGUUCUUUCCCUUUCAAAGGUACG